GGGGCGGUCUAAUACAUGCAAGUCGAGCGAACAGAUAAGGAGCUUGCUCCUUUGAAGUUAGCGGCGGACGGGUGAGUAACACGUGGGUAACCUACCUAUAAGACUGGGAUAACUUCGGGAAACCGGAGCUAAUACCGGAUAACAUUUAGAACCGCAUGGUUCUAAAGUGAAAGAUGGUUUUGCUAUCACUUAUAGAUGGACCCGCGCCGUAUUAGCUAGUUGGUAAGGUAACGGCUUACCAAGGCGACGAUACGUAGCCGACCUGAGAGGGUGAUCGGCCACACUGGAACUGAGACACGGUCCAGACUCCUACGGGAGGCAGCAGUAGGGAAUCUUCCGCAAUGGGCGAAAGCCUGACGGAGCAACGCCGCGUGAGUGAUGAAGGGUUUCGGCUCGUAAAACUCUGUUAUUAGACAAGAAAAAAUGGUAAGUAACUGGGCAAUCUGACAGUACUAUCAGAAAGCCAAGCUACUACGUGCAGCAGCGCGUAUACGUAGGUGGCAAGCGUAUCGGAACUAAUGGGCGUAAAGCGCGCGUAGGCGGCUUCCUAAGUCUGAUGUGAAAGCCCACGGCUCAACCGUGGAGGGUCAUUGGAACUGGGAAACUUGAGUGCAGAAGAGGAAAGUGGAAUUCCAUGUGUAGCGGUGAAAUGCGCAGAGAUAUGGAGGAACACCAGUGGCGAAAGCGACUUUCUGGUCUGUAACUGACGCUGAUGUGCGAAAGCGUGGGGAUCAAACAGGAUUAGAUACCUGGUAGUCCACGCCGUAACGAUGAGUGCUAGUGUUAGGGGUUUCCGCCCCUUAGUGCUGCAGCUAACGCAUUAAGCACUCCGCCUGGGGAGUACGACCGCAGGUGAAACUCAAAGGAUGACGGGAACCCGCACAAGCGUGAGCAUGUGUUUAUCGAGCACGCGAAGACUAACAAAUCUGAAUCGUUGAACUCUAGAGAUAGAGCUUCCCUUCAGGACAAGUGACAGGUGGUCAUGGAUGCUCACCUGUCUGGAAGUUAGUUAAGUCCGCAACGAGCGCAACCCUUAAGCUUAGUUGCCAUCAUUAAGUUGGGCACUCUAGGUUGACUGCCGGUGACAAACCGGAGGAAGGUGGGGAUGACGUCAAAUCAUCAUGCCCCUUAUGAUUUGGGCUACACACGUGCUACAAUGGACAAUACAAAGGGCAGCUAAACCGCGAGGUCAUGCAAAUCCCAUAAAGUUGUUCUCAGUUCGGAUUGUAGUCUGCAACUCGACUACAUGAAGCUGGAAUCGCUAGUAAUCGUAGAUCAGCAUGCUACGGUGAAUACGUUCCCGGGUCUUGUACACACCGCCCGUCACACCACGAGAGUUUGUAACACCCGAAGCCGGUGGAGUAACCAUUUAUGGAGCUAGCCGUCGAACGUUGAA
This 1396-nucleotide ribosomal RNA is filed under the name Staphylococcus xylosus. RNAcentral describes it as "bacterial SSU rRNA". It matches the Rfam family "Bacterial small subunit ribosomal RNA". The record is from RNAcentral. Lineage: Bacteria; Bacillati; Bacillota; Bacilli; Caryophanales; Staphylococcaceae.